AAGUCGUAACAAGGUUUCCGUAGGUGAACCUGCGGAAGGAUCAUUAUCGAGUUUGCAUCGGACGUGACGGUUGCCUCCUACUCUCAGGGGUAGGAGUGCGCCGGCGCCCGCAUCUCCCACACCGUGCGUACGCAUGUCAUUACGUUUUUAAACACAAAGGACAAUGUGUCUAAUCAACCAAAUUCAAACAAAGCAAAAACUUUCAACAACGGAUCUCUUGGUUCUG
Molecule: unclassified non-coding RNA, 226 nt
Filed under: fungal sp.
Lineage: Eukaryota; Fungi
Description: partial internal transcribed spacer region
Rfam family: Eukaryotic small subunit ribosomal RNA (bases 1-46)
Source: RNAcentral